UAGCUAGUAGGUGGGGUAAAGGCUCACCUAGGCGACGAUCCCUAGCCGGUCUGAGAGGAUGACCAGCCACACUGGAACUGAGACACGGUCCAGACUCCUACGGGAGGCAGCAGUGGGGAAUAUUGCACAAUGGGCGCAAGCCUGAUGCAGCCAUGCCGCGUGUAUGAAGAAGGCCUUCGGGUUGUAAAGUACUUUCAGCGGGGAGGAAGGGAGUAAAGUUAAUACCUUUGCUCAUUGACGUUACCCGCAGAAGAAGCACCGGCUAACUCCGUGCCAGCAGCCGCGGUAAUACGGAGGGUGCAAGCGUUAAUCGGAAUUACUGGGCGUAAAGCGCACGCAGGCGGUUUGUUAAGUCAGAUGUGAAAUCCCCGGGCUCAACCUGGGAACUGCAUCUGAUACUGGCAAGCUUGAGUCUCGUAGAGGGGGGUAGAAUUCCAGGUGUAGCGGUGAAAUGCGUAGAGAUCUGGAGGAAUACCGGUGGCGAAGGCGGCCCCCUGGACGAAGACUGACGCUCAGGUGCGAAAGCGUGGGGAGCAAACAGGAUUAGAUACCCUGGUAGUCCACGCCGUAAACGAUGUCGACUUGGAGGUUGUGCCCUUGAGGCGUGGCUUCCGGAGCUAACGCGUUAAGUCGACCGCCUGGGGAGUACGGCCGCAAGGUUAAAACUCAAAUGAAUUGACGGGGGCCCGCACAAGCGGUGGAGCAUGUGGUUUAAUUCGAUGCAACGCGAAGAACCUUACCUGGUCUUGACAUCCACGGAAGUUUUCAGAGAUGAGAAUGUGCCUUCGGGAACCGUGAGACAGGUGCUGCAUGGCUGUCGUCAGCUCGUGUUGUGAAAUGUUGGGUUAAGUCCCGCAACGAGCGCAACCCUUAUCCUUUGUUGCCAGCGGUCCGGCCGGGAACUCAAAGGAGACUGCCAGUGAUAAACUGGAGGAAGGUGGGGAUGACGUCAAGUCAUCACGGCCCUUACGACCAGGGCUACACACGUGCUACAAUGGCGCAUACAAAGAGAAGCGACCUCGCGAGAGCAAGCGGACCUCAAUAAAGUGCGUCGUAGUCCCGGAUUGAAGUCUGCAACUCGACUCCAUGAAGUCGGAAUCGCUAGUAAUCGUGGAUCAGAAUGCCACGGUGAAUACGUUCCCGGGCCUUGUACGCACCGCCCGUCACACCAUGGGAGUGGGUUGCAAAAGAAGUAGGUAGCUUAACCUUCGGGAGGGCGCUUACCACUUUGUGAUUCAUA
RNAcentral lists this ribosomal RNA (1240 nucleotides) under uncultured Shigella sp. RNAcentral's name for it is "bacterial SSU rRNA". It matches the Rfam family "Bacterial small subunit ribosomal RNA", at positions 242 to 1473 of the family's 1533-position model. Lineage: Bacteria; Pseudomonadati; Pseudomonadota; Gammaproteobacteria; Enterobacterales; Enterobacteriaceae. The record is from RNAcentral.